GACGAACGCUGGCGGCGUGCUUAACACAUGCAAGUCGAACGGAAAGGCCCUGCUUUUGUGGGGUGCUCGAGUGGCGAACGGGUGAGUAACACGUGAGUAACCUGCCCUUGACUUUGGGAUAACUUCAGGAAACUGGGGCUAAUACCGGAUAGGAGCUCCUGCUGCAUGGUGGGGGUUGGAAAGUUUCGGCGGUUGGGGAUGGACUCGCGGCUUAUCAGCUUGUUGGUUGGGUAGUGGCUUACCAAGGCUUUGACGGGUAGCCGGCCUGAGAGGGUGACCGGGCACAUUGGGACUGAGAUACGGCCCAGACUCCUACGGGAGGCAGCAGUGGGGAAUAUUGCACAAUGGGCGGAAGCCUGAUGCAGCAACGCCGCGUGCGGGAUGACGGCCUUCGGGUUGUAAACCGCUUUCGCCUGUGACGAAGCGUGAGUGACGGUAAUGGGUAAAGAAGCACCGGCUAACUACGUG
RNAcentral lists this ribosomal RNA (468 nucleotides) under uncultured bacterium. RNAcentral describes it as "partial 16S ribosomal RNA". It matches the Rfam family "Bacterial small subunit ribosomal RNA", at positions 28 to 507 of the family's 1533-position model. The record is from RNAcentral.